This 221-nucleotide long non-coding RNA is filed under the name Homo sapiens (human). Its description in RNAcentral is "HSALNT0177323". The record is from RNAcentral. Lineage: Eukaryota; Metazoa; Chordata; Mammalia; Primates; Hominidae.
CCAGCUCCUGGCUUCUCACAUACCGCUGCUGGCUGGGCGGGUUGCUUCUCUCUGGGCCUCAGUUUCCCCUCUGUAAAGUGGGACUGUCCAAGGAGGUCCCUCGCUGGCCCCCCGUGCAGGGAGGGCUUCAGGCUGCGGCAGGUGGAAUUCCAGAACAAGUUCUACUCAGGCACGGGCUACAAGCUGAGUCCCUUCACCUUCGCUGCCACAGAUGACUAGGG